UGGUCAAGUUAUUAAGGGUGCAGGGCGGAUGCCUUGGCACUAGGAGCCGAUGAAGGACGUGAUAAGCUGCGAUAAGCUUCGGGGAGUUGCACGUAAACUUUGAUCCGAAGAUUUCCGAAUGAGGAAACUCACUUAGAGUAAUGUCUAAGUAUCAUUAAGUGAAUACAUAGCUUAAUGAGGGGAACUCAGGGAACUGAAACAUCUAAGUACCUGAAGGAAGAGAAAGAAAUUCGAUUCCGUAAGUAGCGGCGAGCGAACGCGGAUUAGCCCAAACCAAUAAAGUUUUCUUUAUUGGGGUUGCGGACAUAUCAUAACGAAGAGGUAUCGUAAUUGAAGAGGUUUGGAAAGACCCACCACAGAAGGUAAUAGUCCUGUAUGUUAAACGAGAAGACUUUAGAUAUGAUCCAGAGUACCACGGGACACGUGAAACCCUGUGGGAAGCAGGAGGGACCACCCUCCAAGGCUAAAUACUACCUAGUGACCGAUAGCGUAUAGUACCGUGAGGGAAAGGUGAAAAGAACCCCGGGAGGGGAGUGAAAUAGAACCUGAAACCCUGCACUUACAAGCUGUGGAAGCACAUUUCUUGUGUGACCGCGUACUUUUUGUAGAACGGGCCAACGAGUUACGUUAAGUAGCAAGGUUAAGCACUUAAGGUGCGGAGCCGUAGCGAAAGCGAGUUUUAACUGAGCGUUCAGUUACUUGACGUAGACCCGAAACCGGGCGACCUACCCAUGAGCAGGAUGAAGCGAAAGUAAAAUUUCGUGGAGGUCCGAACCCACGAGCGUUGAAAAGCUCGGGGAUGACUUGUGGGUAGCGGUGAAAUUCCAAUCGAGCCCGGAGAUAGCUGGUUCUCCCCGAAAUAGCUUUAGGGCUAGCCUCAAGGUGAGAGAUACGGAGGUAGAGCACUGAAUGUCCUAGGGGGUAUUGCACCUACCGAAGACUAUCAAACUCCGAAUGCCGUCAUCUUAUACUUGGGAGUCAGACUGUGGGUGAUAAGAUUCAUAGUCGAAAGGGCAACAGCCCAGAUCGUCAGCUAAGGUCCCUAAAUGUAAGUUAAGUGGUAAAGGAUGUGGGAUUGCACAGACAACCAGGAUGUUGGCUUAGAAGCAGCCACUCAUUCAAAGAGUGCGUAAUAGCUCACUGGUCGAGUGAUCCUGCGCCGAAGAUUUCCGGGGCUAAAACUUACUACCGAAGCUACGGCAUCAGUAAUGAUGGGUAGGGGAGCUUCCCAUACGGGUUGAAGCAUGACCGUAAGGACAUGUGGACAGUAUGGGAGUGAGAAUGUUGGCAUGAGUAGCGAGAUGUGGGUG
Molecule: ribosomal RNA, 1310 nt
Filed under: Clostridioides difficile
Lineage: Bacteria; Bacillati; Bacillota; Clostridia; Peptostreptococcales; Peptostreptococcaceae
Description: partial 23S ribosomal RNA
Rfam family: Bacterial large subunit ribosomal RNA
Source: RNAcentral